CCAGUUUUUAUAACCUGUUUGGUUGGAUCGGAGCCAGGAUCUCUCGGUUGGACACCACCUACAGGCGUUCAAUCUCAGCUGUGGAACACCUAUCUGUCUCUGCAUAUCAAUCCCCCCCUAUGGUUAAGAGUGAGAAGAGACGGCUCCUUCUGUUUCUUCUGUCUCCAUUAGCUCCCUGGUGGAUCCGCCUGAUGUGAAACUUUUUUUCGCAGUCGAGCAGUGGUGCAGUGGAAUCAGACAAUGAAUGUUGCAGUAUUGCGGCCUUGCCCGCGCAGACUCAGUAAUGUAGUCGACGGUGCACAAAGCGCUGCUCCCUUUUUCAAACUGCUUAUCCAGGCUGAAUCCAGGAUGCUGGUGAAGACACUGUUUCACAGGACCUUGCAAUACAAAAGAUGAAAAUCUACAGGAACAAGACGAACACGUCGGAGUCCAGACGCCGGUAUCAUGUUGGACGUACUAAAAGUUCUGACUGCACCGAGGGACUUUCCAAGGGCUUGGUGUCUGCUGGUUGGGUUUGCUUAUGCAGUCAAUCUUGCACAUUCAAAGUGUCCCCUUUGACCCUUGGAGUAAAAAAAGGGAAUUGUUGUUACUGAACUCUCAAAUGUGGUUACUGUUUGUUCAAUGCCUG
Long non-coding RNA from Gasterosteus aculeatus aculeatus (three-spined stickleback), 628 nucleotides. Lineage: Eukaryota; Metazoa; Chordata; Actinopteri; Perciformes; Gasterosteidae. The record is from Ensembl.